GUUUGGAUGGCUCAGUUGGUUAGAGCGCAGGUCUCAUACUGUAGUGAGACCGUUCCGUGGGCGGGUAAUCCUGAGGUCGUGAGUUCGAUCCUCAUCCGAGCA
This 102-nucleotide transfer RNA is filed under the name Dichomitus squalens. It matches the Rfam family "tRNA". Rfam says of the family: Transfer RNA (tRNA) molecules are approximately 80 nucleotides in length. Their secondary structure includes four short double-helical elements and three loops (D, anti-codon, and T loops). The record is from Rfam by way of RNAcentral. Lineage: Eukaryota; Fungi; Basidiomycota; Agaricomycetes; Polyporales; Polyporaceae.